Vicia villosa (hairy vetch) is the source of this 3529-nucleotide long non-coding RNA. RefSeq lists it as uncharacterized. Lineage: Eukaryota; Viridiplantae; Streptophyta; Magnoliopsida; Fabales; Fabaceae. The transcript is spliced from 9 exons. The record is from RefSeq and is a predicted model, not a curated record.
CUCUUCUCUCAAUUUUCCACGUCACUUUUCUCAAUUUUAUGCUCAUGCUACGAUGGUUACACUUCUCAAAUUGCAGUUACUAAGUAUCCUCUUUCUCCUAUUCAUUUCACGUUACAAACUUCCUCCGAAUUCUCUUCAUCAAUUCAUUUCACGUUACAAACUUCCAGCGGUUACUACUCUCCACAUUCAUCUUCCCCAAAUUCUAACCCUAAAUCAAAUACAGUAUUUCACACAACCUUUCAUCAACCCUCAUCACAACCAUCACCACAAAUUCAUCAUUGGACCGCAACAGAUUCACAACGUGCGGAGCACCGUCAUCGGUAACAAAUCUUCAGCAGCAACGAUUGUAAUCUGAUAUACAACGACAUCAUCAGAAAAUCACGGUUGCGACAUCAGAUUCACGCGGAUCCGCCAACAAGCUUCCAUUCACACCCUGAUCGAAGCAAUUAUUGGGUUUUGUUUGAAUUUUCAGAUAACGUUUGUUUUUUGAAAUUUUCAGAUAAGGUAAAAAGGAAAAGAAAACAUUGACGGAAUUUCUCACGGUUUGUGGUGGCCUUCCUCCCGACGAUGGAGAAAUCCGGUUGCGUUGCGCGACUGCGAACAAAAUUGAAGGGCAAAGGUGCAUGGGAUACUGUCUCAAAUGGAUCCAGCAGUGGUUGCAUUUUGUGACAAGAUUGCAAGCCAGGGUGGCCCAGUUCAGAUAUUGGUUCUGCUUUAUAUGACUGGUCAUGCUUAUGAGCCUAAUGGGUGUUAUGCGUGAAUUUGCAGCUAUUGACUGGUAUUAAAAGAAGGCUUUUGUGUUAUCGAUUAUUAGCAGUCUGCGAUUGUCGACAGGAAUAAGAGGUAGAUGGAUCUGAAUAGAGAGGAUGAGAGAGCCAUAAUAGAAGCUGCAGGAGGAAGAGUCAUACAUUGGAAAGGAUACCGAGUUCUUGGUGUCUUGAGGGGUUGGUAUUGGUGGAUCAUUAGCAACUAUGGUUGUUGGACUGGCCGGUUCACUUGGAAAGGAAUCAGAACAGUUGUGAAUGGAUAAAGUACUUGAUAUGCAGCGGGCCUGCUAUACGGUGUUUUUCCAUUAUAGAGUUGCACAUCCAGUUGAUAGUGCUUUUGGUCUAUGGUUGACAUCUAUAAUUCGCGCGACCAUCUUGGCAUGAUUCAGGUUUUUCUUUGACACAGUGGUGCCCAUGACAUGGAAGGAAAUGAACUUCCAAGGUUGGUUUAUGUUUCUAGAGAGAAAAGGCCAGGUUACACCCACCACAAAAAGGCUGGUGCUGAAAAUGCACUGGCGAGGGUGUCUGCAGUUCUCAUAAUGCUCCCUACAUUCUCAGUCUUGAUUGAUUGUGAUCAUUAUGUUAACAAUAGCAAGGCUGUUUGAGGAGCGAUGUGUUUUCUGAUGGAUCCAGUAAUCGGUAAGAUCUUUGUUAUGUGCAGUUCCCCCGGAGAUUUGAUGGCAUUGAUCACAGUGAUCGAUAUGCCAAUCGCAACACGGUUUUCUUUGAUGCCAAUAUUCGUUUGUGCUAUUGUUACUUCAGUGUCUUAAAAAGUUGUGUGAAUUUCUAUGGGAAGAAACAUAUGUAGGCAGCAAGGAAUAGGAAAAAGGAAGUUAGUUGAGUGUAAAUAUUGCAAUCUUGAAUGGCAGGAAAUAAUAAGACAUCAUAGAGAUAAGGUCAACCAAGCGAUUAACCGGUACACUGUGUUAAAUCGAUACUAUGGCAGUUGCUCAAUGGACUGAACUAUCUGCACAGGUUAGUCUAUUCUUUGUGAAGUUAAAGAUGGUUCCUUUUAUUUGUUUUCUUUGUGUUUACUUAUAUUAUUUCUGAAUACGCAUGGAGAAUCAACUGCCCUAAUGCUACAAUUGGCCUUUCAAAGUCUCGGAAUAGUUUACGGAGACAUUGGUUAAUACUAUUACUAGCUUUUAUUUUCGUGAUAAUAUAAAUGUUUUUGAGCAUUUUCACUAACUAUAGUGAUUUGUUAUGUGGAACAUUUGCUUUGUAUUCUAUUGUAUGUCGUUACGCCAAAGUGGGACUUCUUCCGAAUAACCAAGUAGAGGACACACAGGUGUCUAAUUACCAGCUGGGAUUGCUGAACUGCCGUGAAAUGAGAGCUUCCAACCUUAAAACUGUGCUUCAGAAGAGUCACUUUAUGAAGAUCUUCCUCUUAUCUGAUACUUUGCUGGGAACUUCCAUGGUUAUCGGUGAACGUGUGUGGGUCUGAAUUUUGAAGACAAUCACAUAACUACUUGGCUUGGAAAUCUUCUUGCUGUGCCCGAUCUCCGUAAAGAGUGGCAUGAAAAUUUGAGCUCACAUGUUGGCUCACACUCACAGAAGAACAAGGUAUAUACUGAAAAUUAUAUGGCUAACUAUAAUUUAGAUGAAUAUAUAAUUGGAUAGUGUUUUUGUGCAGCUGUUGAAUGUUGCGCUUGAUAUGGCUAGGAGAGAAGCAGAAACUGUAAUUCAUGCUUGCAAUGACUUUUUGGCUGUUAUGAAUCACGAGAUGAGAACUCUGAUGCGUGCAAUUAUUGCACUCUCUUAAUUGUUACAGGAAACAGAUAUGACUGCCGAGCAACGUCUGAUGGUGGAAACAAUAUGAAAAGCAGCAAUUUAUUGGCUAUGAUGUACUCAAGAUCCUGUUUUGGUUUUUGUUACCAAGUUUUUGUAUUUGACAUAUUUAUGCAUUUUUCCAUAGGUGACACUAUGAUAGCGACUGAUAUGAUGUUGUGCUGGUAGCAGUUUGGGAUUGUCGUAAUCCAUGGGCUUGGCUAAGUUGUGCAUUUCUGUGACGACUCAUCUCCGCCUAAUUGACAGAUUUGUGCAUCCGAUUAGCGUUGAACAAAUACGCUCUGAUUGAAUUGCAUUCAAAGAUAUUUGGUUUUUUCUAUUAAUGUUUAGUAUCAUCUUCUUGAUUUCUGCUAUUUUACACCGUGUGGUUUGGUUUAUGUGCUACCAGAUUCUUUCUUUGCUGUCUGUCUUGGCCUGGUGCGGUAUUUGGCUUGGUGCUGGUGGUGUUUAGUUGAUGUUUACAGCUCUGCUUACUUAGUGAUAUUUUAUAUGGUUUUGGUUUGAUUCUGUUCUCGGGUGGUUGUUAGUGCUAUAUUUUGAAAAUCAAAUUCUACUUGCUGUGUAUCUGUGUAUUUGAUAGAUUUGCUGACAUCAACUAUGAAAGUGAUACACUAUUGGAUAAUUUUUUAGAGUUACAAGUUUAACACAUUCAGCCAUCAAUUUGUUUUAUAUUAACUUGAUGAUCAAGUAUGUAAAAUAUUGGAUGUUUAAAUAGUUUUUGAAUCAUAUGAAGCUCUGCAGCUUUGAUCUACUUAAUGAGAACUUUAAAUUCAAAUUUUGCUUUGUUUCAGCCCUUUGUUCGUUACAUGGAAGAAAGUGGUAAAUGAUCCAAUAGAUCAAAGUAUGCUUGCAAAAAACAUAUCAGUGUUCGGUGAGUAAGUGGUUUAUUAAUAUCUAACACAUGAUAAUAUCUAAUUACUUCUCUUAACACCAAAGAUUGAACAAGUCUGGUGCAGAUCUGUCUUGGAUAAAGU